Pongo abelii (Sumatran orangutan) is the source of this 148-nucleotide unclassified non-coding RNA. It matches the Rfam family "Metazoan signal recognition particle RNA". From Rfam's summary of the family: The signal recognition particle (SRP) is a universally conserved ribonucleoprotein. It is involved in the co-translational targeting of proteins to membranes. The eukaryotic SRP consists of a 300-nucleotide 7S RNA and six proteins: SRPs 72, 68, 54, 19, 14, and 9. NCBI's taxonomy places the organism in Eukaryota, Metazoa, Chordata, Mammalia, Primates, Hominidae. The record is from Ensembl.
GCUGGGUGUGGUGGUGCACACCUGUAGUCCCAGCUACUUGGGAGGCUGAGGUGGGAGGAUCACUUGAGCUCAGGAGGUUGAGGCUGCAGUGAGCUGUGACGGAGCCACUGCACUCCAGCCUGGGUGACAGAGCAAGACCCUGUCUCAA